CUUUCAACAACGGAUCUCUUGGUUCUGGCAUCGAUGAAGAACGCAGCGAAAUGCGAUAAGUAGUGUGAAUUGCAGAAUUCAGUGAAUCAUCGAAUCUUUGAACGCACAUUGCGCCCUUUGGUAUUCCAAAGGGCAUGCCUGUUCGAGCGUCAUUU
This 155-nucleotide ribosomal RNA is filed under the name Alternaria sp. 1 JD-2019. Its description in RNAcentral is "5.8S ribosomal RNA". It matches the Rfam family "5.8S ribosomal RNA". Rfam says of the family: 5.8S ribosomal RNA (5.8S rRNA) is a component of the large subunit of the eukaryotic ribosome. It is transcribed by RNA polymerase I as part of the 45S precursor that also contains 18S and 28S rRNA. Lineage: Eukaryota; Fungi; Ascomycota; Dothideomycetes; Pleosporales; Pleosporaceae. The record is from RNAcentral.